This 402-nucleotide ribosomal RNA is filed under the name uncultured bacterium. RNAcentral's name for it is "bacterial SSU rRNA". It matches the Rfam family "Bacterial small subunit ribosomal RNA", at positions 355 to 774 of the family's 1533-position model. The record is from RNAcentral.
UCGGGAAUUUUGGGCAAUGGGCGAAAGCCUGACCCAGCAACGCCGCGUGAGGGAUGAAGUAUUUCGGUAUGUAAACCUCGAAAGAAUGGGAAGAAUAAAUGACGGUACCAUUUAUAAGCUCCGGCUAACUACGUGCCAGCAGCUGCGGUAAUACGUAGGGAGCAAGCGUUACUCGGAAUUACUGGGCGUAAAGCGUGCGUAGGUGGUUCGUUAAGUCUGAUGUGAAAGCCCUGGGCUCAACCUGGGAAUGGCAUUGGAAACUGGCGGACUGGAGUGCGGUAGAGGGUAGCGGAAUUCCCGGUGUAGCAGUGAAAUGCGUAGAGAUCGGGAGGAACAUCCGUGGCGAAGGCGGCUACCUGGACCAGCACUGACACUGAGGCACGAAAGCGUGGGGAGCAAACA